CCUACGGGAGGCAGCAGUGAGGAAUAUUGGUCAAUGGGCGGGAGCCUGAACCAGCCAAGUCGCGUGAAGGAAGAAGGUACUUAGCAUUGUAAACUUCUUUUGUCGGGGAACAAAGGCGGAGACGCGUCUCCGGAUGAGUGUACCCGAAGAAAAAGCAUCGGCUAACUCCGUGCCAGCAGCCGCGGUAAUACGGAGGAUGCGAGCGUUAUCCGGAUUUAUGGGGUUUAAAGGGUGCGCAGGCGGGAGAUCAAGUCAGCGGGAAAAUGUCGGGGCUCAACCCCGGCCGGCCGUUGAAACUGGUUUUCUAGAGUUGGAGAGAAGUAUGCGGAAUUCGUGGUGUAGCGGUGAAAUGCAUAGAUAUCACGAAGAACGCCGAUUGCGAAGGCAGCAUACCGGCUCCAUACUGACGCUGAGGCACGAAAGCGUGGGGAUCGAACAGGAUUAGAUACCCCAGUAGUC
This 459-nucleotide ribosomal RNA is filed under the name uncultured bacterium. RNAcentral's name for it is "partial 16S ribosomal RNA". It matches the Rfam family "Bacterial small subunit ribosomal RNA", at positions 338 to 795 of the family's 1533-position model. The record is from RNAcentral.